CCUACGGGUGGCAGCAGUGGGGAAUAUUGCACAAUGGGGGCAACCCUGAUGCAGCUACUCCGCGUGAGUGAUGACGGCCUUCGGGUUGUAAAGCUCUUUCGUCGAGGACGAUAAUGACGGUACCUGAGGAGGAAGCCACGGCUAACUACGUGCCAGCAGCCGCGGUAUUACGUAGGUGGCGAGCGUUGUCCGGAUUUACUGGGCGUAAAGGGAGCGGAGGCGGAUUUUUAAGUGAGAUGUGAAAGACUCGGGCUCAACUUGAGGUCUGCAUUUCAGACUGGAAGUCUAGAGUGCAGGAGAGGAGAAUGGAAUUCCUAGUGUAGCGGUGAAAUGCGUAGAGAUUAGGAAGAACACCAGUGGCGAAGGCGAUUCUCUGGACUGUAACUGACGCUGAGGCUCGAAAGCGUGGGGAGCAAACAGGAUUAGAUACCCGAGUAGUC
Molecule: ribosomal RNA, 440 nt
Filed under: uncultured bacterium
Lineage: Bacteria
Description: partial 16S ribosomal RNA
Rfam family: Bacterial small subunit ribosomal RNA
Source: RNAcentral